Hypanus sabinus (Atlantic stingray) is the source of this 846-nucleotide long non-coding RNA. RefSeq lists it as uncharacterized. The record is from RefSeq and is a predicted model, not a curated record. NCBI's taxonomy places the organism in Eukaryota, Metazoa, Chordata, Chondrichthyes, Myliobatiformes, Dasyatidae. The transcript has 2 exons.
UAAACUGUAGCUAGUUAAUCUCGGAAACUAAAGAGUCCAGAAUAUAAAUAAGGGAACUUCGCUGCAAUAUGAUCAUACCUUUCCUGUAAUUUCUGGAAGCCCCGAGGAACAUCUACUAAAACAAUAGGUCCAGCAGCUAAACGGUUAAGAAUUACCUUCCAACACAAGCUGAACACGGGGGGAGAGAGAUGAUGUAAAUCCCUCGGAACGCCAUGUGACACUUGGAGGCAGCUUUAAUUAAUAAUAGAGCUCCUAACGACGGACGCACUGACUUUUGAGGUUUUCGGUAGUUGCAGUUGGUUAGCAAUGUGUCAGCAAGCUGACGAUGUGGACAGGACGGCGUGCUUGUGCAGCCCGGACCAGCCUGGCGAACGCUGCUCCGAAGUGCAAGAGGUCGCCCGAAGGUUGAGGAUUAUAGGGGACCAUUUGCAAGAAAGGGCACAGAGCAAAGCCGCCGACAGGAUCCACACCAACGUCAGCAACAAGCACCUUUAUACCAUUUGCACGCUCGUGCAUGUCACAGCGCUCUUCAUACUCAUCAGAAAUAAACACCUGUAGGAAGUUUGACACCUGGGAUCCGGACUUCAACAGGUGGCAGGUGGACUGUCAGUCAUUCAAUCGACGCAAUAAAGGUCGGGGCGUUGCUCUGGAGUGAAACUCAGCCCCAAACUUGGGCCGAUCAAACUACUGGAAUGCGGAGGAGUGGGACCGAAAAUUAUUGCACCGCUUACAUUUAUGAAAACAUCAGAGCAAUUUUUUAAAAACAUAUGCAUGUUUUGAAAUGUGGAGUGCAACAUUUUGUUACAACAAUUUUAUACCAGUUGAAUAGAGUCGUUGAUUCUACUG